This 497-nucleotide ribosomal RNA is filed under the name uncultured bacterium. Its description in RNAcentral is "partial 16S ribosomal RNA". It matches the Rfam family "Bacterial small subunit ribosomal RNA", at positions 28 to 507 of the family's 1533-position model. The record is from RNAcentral.
GAUGAACGCUGGCGGCGUGCCUAAUACAUGCAAGUCGAGCGAACAGACGAGGAGCUUGCUCCUCUGACGUUAGCGGCGGACGGGUGAGUAACACGUGGAUAACCUACCUAUAAGACUGGGAUAACUUCGGGAAACCGGAGCUAAUACCGGAUAACAUGUUGAACCGCAUGGUUCAACAGUGAAAGACGGUCUUGCUGUCACUUAUAGAUGGAUCCGCGCCGCAUUAGCUAGUUGGUAAGGUAACGGCUUACCAAGGCAACGAUGCGUAGCCGACCUGAGAGGGUGAUCGGCCACACUGGAACUGAGACACGGUCCAGACUCCUAGGGGAGGCAGCAGUAGGGAAUCUUCCGCAAUGGGCGAAAGCCUGACGGAGCAACGCCGCGUGAGUGAAGAAGGUCUUCGGAUCGUAAAACUCUGUUAUUAGGGAAGAACAAAUGUGUAAGUAACUAUGCACGUCUUGACGGUACCUAAUCAGAAAGCCACGGCUAACUACGUG